RNAcentral lists this ribosomal RNA (253 nucleotides) under uncultured bacterium. RNAcentral's name for it is "partial 16S ribosomal RNA". It matches the Rfam family "Bacterial small subunit ribosomal RNA", at positions 524 to 776 of the family's 1533-position model. The record is from RNAcentral.
UACGUAGGGUGCGAGCGUUGUCCGGAAUUAUUGGGCGUAAAGGGCUCGUAGGCGGUUUGUCGCGUCGGGAGUGAAAACACCGGGCUUAACUCGGUGCUGGCUUUCGAUACGGGCAGACUAGAGGUAUUCAGGGGAGAACGGAAUUCCUGGUGUAGCGGUGAAAUGCGCAGAUAUCAGGAGGAACACCGGUGGCGAAGGCGGUUCUCUGGGAAUGUCCUGACGCUGAGGAGCGAAAGUGUGGGGAGCGAACAGG